AAGUCUUUUUUUCCUAAUAAUCCAUUUUCCACAUUGCCAUGAGGGCAAAGGGUUCCAAUCAAAACCACCCUUAAACUGCAUAGUUUCUAGUCCUCCCUCAGCCUUGAUGCUAAUUAUGAUAGUUUGCAUAGACAUAACUUAAACUUGUGAUUCUCCCUCCUUCCAGAGCUUUUUUUAGCCCUUUCCCCCCAAAAAUUAGUUUUGUUCAAAAUCAAGUAUUGGGCCCAGCCAUUAAGAUAAGACCUAAUAAGUGAGAGAUACAGUUCCCAAAAGUUUAUAGAUCCAGGUGUUCACAUGGUGGUGGCCAGUCUACUGUUUAUCCUGUCAAGGUUGUUACUGCUAAUUUGGUGUCACUUUGGUCCUGGGCAGCAGUGGUGGGCGACGUAUCUAAUGAGCGUGCCAUUGACUUCUCCGUGUUUGUCUGUGUACGAGGGGUGCAGGUUGUCUGUAAUCCACUAAAGUGUCAGCCACACCCAGCUUUAGUAACUCGCUAAUCGCACACCCUGGGUGUAUCAGCCAGGGGCUGCUACAGUUAAUGGUACACAGUUGAUGGUACACAGGCUGAAAAUGAUAAUGAAUCAAGACCCUACUACAUUUCCAAAGCCGAAAAGCCAUGAGGGUUACAAUUUAAAUGAGCUUGGGAAGGAACGCUCCCGAAGACGUCUCCAGCCUGAAGGGUCAGAGCCGCUGGAAGCCUGGCUGUCUCUGGGCUUUCUCGUCUCAGUGCAGCAAGGCACCGUGAUCAACCAACCCGUGAUGGGGAAGGCCCUGGUUCUGUCUUUGUUUGGGGGUAAAUAGCUGUGUGGUGUUGAGUGACUGUGAUUGGCUUUUCCAGCUCCUUUAACACAAACUACAACCCACUCACGAUACAACUUCGGCAGAUGUGGUCAAAUUGAUGUUUGUUGACUUGCCUCAUUUCCUUCCAGCUCUUAAGUUCCAAAGUCUAACUGGGAUGGUAGAUGUGAAAUGCAUGAUUGUCGUCCUAAUUUCUGCAUGUGUUUAUGACAAUGUGUUGAGGGGAGGGGGAGGAGAGCCAGAGAGCAUUUUUAGGAACCAAAGGUCUUUCCUUGUCUUACUCUGGGGGAAUGCCAUGUAGCUCUGAUAGAGUUGUCUAUCGGUCUGUUUGUGAAUGCCCUUUCGCUUAAACUUCCAGCCCUUCUGGUGGCAUCCUUGGUUGUAAGGUGGCUGCUGUAUAACGUCCACUCUUUUUCAUAUUUAAUAUGUGUGAUUGUUACUGUUGUCUUUUUGUUUUAAAGUAACCAUAAGAGCAGAUGAUCUGAGUUAUAUUUAUUGAUCAGAGGAAUAGAGUGCAGUAAAACUCAUACUGGCAUUUUGCUUUUCUCAUUUCCCUGUAAACGGGCGGGUAUUAAUCCAUUCCCACCUUCUAAUGUCCUUGGUGUCCAGCUGGCUUUGUGGGUGUGCAAUGGUUUUACUGUACUGCCUCGAUCUGUGCCAGGCAUUUAUACACAGCCACAUGUGCGAGUCAGGUAGAGCGUAUGUGGUCACCCCCAUGGUUCACGGAGUUAGCUGAAUGGCCUCUCCGCUGUCCCUAGAUGGCAGAAACGGUGGACACAAGCGAAAUGGUCAACGGCGCUACAGAACAAAGGACGAGCUCUAAAGAGUCCAGCCCCAUCCCCUCUCCGACCUCUGAUCGCAAAGCCAAGACUGCCCUCCCAGCCCAGAGUGCCGCCACCUUACCAGCCAGAACCCAGGAGACACCUUCGGCCCAGAUGGAAGGCUUCCUCAAUCGGAAACACGAGUGGGAGGCCCACAAUAAGAAAGCCUCAAGCAGGUCCUGGCACAAUGUUUAUUGUGUCAUAAAUAACCAAGAAAUGGGUUUCUACAAAGAUGCAAAGACUGCUGCUUCUGGAAUUCCCUACCACAGCGAGGUCCCUGUGAGUUUGAAAGAAGCUGUCUGCGAAGUGGCCCUUGAUUACAAAAAGAAGAAACACGUAUUCAAGCUAAGACUAAAUGAUGGCAAUGAGUACCUCUUCCAAGCCAAAGACGAUGAGGAAAUGAACACAUGGAUCCAGGCUAUCUCUUCUGCCAUCUCCUCUGAUAAACACGAGGUGUCUGCCAGCACCCAGAGCACGCCAGCAUCCAGCCGAGCGCAGACCCUCCCCACCAGCGUCGUCACCAUCACCAGCGAGUCCAGUCCCGGCAAGCGGGAAAAGGACAAAGAGAAAGACAAAGAGAAGCGGUUCAGCCUUUUUGGCAAAAAGAAAUGAACUCCUUUCCUUCACCUCCUGCCCUUCUCUUACCUUUUCAGUGAAAUUCCAGCAUGCAAGCUCAGAACCAACACAUUACUCUCUGUGCCUAAUGUUCCUCAAUGUGGUUGAUUUUUUUUUUUUUUUUAAUUUAUAGAGCAUUUCUGGGGGGUGGGGGAAUCACACCUAAACACUUUAUCUCCAAGUUACAAAAGUUUGAGGUGCAGAGGGAAGGCCAGAUUUUUUUUUUAAUGAAAUUAUAUAGAUUAGAUCUCAGUAUUUAAACUGUUCCUCAAUUUUGUGAGGCUGUGUUGGAAAUAACCCGCCUCUAGUGCUGUUGGUAUGCAAGGCAGCGGUGCUUAAUCAAUAUUUCCUGUGCUCACCAGAGACAAAACGUACCAAUAUCCUGACACCAUUCUCUUUCCAUUUACUUCCGGUGGUUACCCUGAGUCUUGACUCUUAGAAGUGCCCGAGAUGGGGCUAACCUUUAUUAAACAGAUCGCAUAUUAUGAUCUUGCUGCAGCCACAGUGCAGCUCCACAUUAACUCUACAGACCAAACCAUUUGUAUCUGGCAUCACUUACUAACACACGACAUGCGGCUUUUCUGCAUCAACUGCUAUGACGGUUAAGAAUGUCAGUAUACAAGAAGGAAUAGAAAACUGAUACUGUUUUAAAUAAUCUGUAAUUUCAAUUUUUUUUUUUUUUUUUGCUGAAAUACAUUAUAUUGUAUGUUUGAGAUAAUUCUAGUACAAAGUAUAAUAAAACUAGAUGUAUAAUAAACCCUUUAAAUCAUUGGUAAGUGUACAAGUGGUGGAACUGAAGCAUUUACUGGACAAAGUAAUGUUACUCUAAUGGUUACUUGCUCGUGCGUUGCCACACUGUGUUAUAAUUUGCUUCAUUUCCUUGCUAUUUGAUACAUAGUGUGCAUUUCUCUGUCACUGUAACUAUUGUAAUGACAAAUUUUCAUCUUACUGCACAAUCAAAAUGACAUUGAUAGGAAUGAACUCCAGAGGCUGGGCCUGAACAGGGAGGUGGUCGCUCAGGCCUGGUGCUCAGUCGUACGACCUGUACCUCUCAACUUUUGCCCUAUCUGUUAAAUAUAUGCUAUGUCAUUAAAUGCUUUUAAAUCU
This 3338-nucleotide small RNA is filed under the name Pongo abelii (Sumatran orangutan). RNAcentral's name for it is "retained intron". The record is from RNAcentral. Lineage: Eukaryota; Metazoa; Chordata; Mammalia; Primates; Hominidae.